GCUUUGCUGACGAGUGGCGGACGGGUGAGUAAUGUCUGGGAAACUGCCCGAUGGAGGGGGAUAACUACUGGAAACGGUAGCUAAUACCGCAUAAUGUCGCAAGACCAAAGAGGGGGACCUUCGGGCCUCUUGCCAUCGGAUGUGCCCAGAUGGGAUUAGCUUGUUGGUGAGGUAACGGCUCACCAAGGCGACGAUCCCUAGCUGGUCUGAGAGGAUGACCAGCCACACUGGAACUGAGACACGGUCCAGACUCCUACGGGAGGCAGCAGUGGGGAAUAUUGCACAAUGGGCGCAAGCCUGAUGCAGCCAUGCCGCGUGUAUGAAGAAGGCCUUCGGGUUGUAAAGUACUUUCAGCGGGGAGGAAGGGGUUAAGGUUAAUAACCUUAGCCAUUGACGUUACCCGCAGAAGAAGCACCGGCUAACUCCGUGCCAGCAGCCGCGGUAAUACGGAGGGUGCAAGCGUUAAUCGGAAUUACUGGGCGUAAAGCGCACGCAGGCGGUCUGUCAAGUCGGAUGUGAAAUCCCCGGGCUCAACCUGGGAACUGCAUUCGAAACUGGCAGGCUUGAGUCUCGUAG
RNAcentral lists this ribosomal RNA (576 nucleotides) under Citrobacter sp. RNAcentral describes it as "bacterial SSU rRNA". It matches the Rfam family "Bacterial small subunit ribosomal RNA", at positions 82 to 654 of the family's 1533-position model. Lineage: Bacteria; Pseudomonadati; Pseudomonadota; Gammaproteobacteria; Enterobacterales; Enterobacteriaceae. The record is from RNAcentral.